UACGUAGGGGGCUAGCGUUGUCCGGAAUCAUUGGGCGUAAAGAGCGUGUAGGCGGUCCGGUAAGUCCGCUGUGAAAGUCGGGGGCUCAACCCUCGAAUGCCGGUGGAUACUGUCGGGCUAGAGUGCGGAAGAGGCGAGUGGAAUUCCUGGUGUAGCGGUGAAAUGCGCAGAUAUCAGGAGGAACACCUAUUGCGAAGGCAGCUCGCUGGGACGUUACUGACGCUGAGGCGCGACAGCGUGGGGAGCAAACAGG
RNAcentral lists this ribosomal RNA (253 nucleotides) under uncultured bacterium. RNAcentral describes it as "partial 16S ribosomal RNA". It matches the Rfam family "Bacterial small subunit ribosomal RNA", at positions 524 to 776 of the family's 1533-position model. The record is from RNAcentral.